Molecule: ribosomal RNA, 95 nt
Filed under: uncultured bacterium
Lineage: Bacteria
Description: partial 16S ribosomal RNA
Rfam family: Bacterial small subunit ribosomal RNA
Source: RNAcentral
CCGCCCGUCACACCAUGGGAGUCAGUUGCUCCAGAAGUGGCUGCGCCAACCCGCAAGGGAGGCAGGCCCCCAAGGAGUGGCUGGUGACUGGGGUG